AGAUGUUGUGUCCUUCUUGAUGACAAUUACCACAUCUUGAGGUGGGCAUCCAUGUCUUGUUAAUUGUAUGCCUUCCUUCAUUCUCUAUAGGACAUUUCCUUCUGUUUACUUUGGGCCUUCCUGGCAUUCUCCUAUGUCUAGGUGGUAAUAUGGGAUCACAUAGAACAUCAGGCCACAUGUUAGCUCCAUUAAUUAGUUUGACUGGAUACCUAUAACAACUUCCAAACAUGCUUCAUUUAAACCACAAAAAUACAUAGUCCUCUACAUUUCCAUUCAGGUAUAUUAUUGCAGUGAUGGCAUGCACACAAGGGAUACCACUGAGUUGCCAGGCUCUGCAAUCACAUAUUUUGUGUUCAAGGUGAACUGCAUAAACUUCAUGCGCUAAUUUCACCUCAUAUUCUUGCUCGCCACUUGGAACAACAUCCCAAUACCUGUUAUGAAAUCAUAUUAAGAAGGUAAUUUAUUUCAUAUUAAUUCACUUUCAAUUAAAGAAUAUACCUUUGUUGUUCUUUCAUCUUCUCAAUCCUCUUUCUAAUAGAAGGGAAGAUUUCCAAGUCCCACUUUUUACACUUAAGCUUUUGAUUGUACAUCCUCUCCAUCACGUACAACCUGAUUUCUUCCAGCAUUGUUAUUAUGGGUUUCUUCCGGGCCUCUACGAUUGAUGCAUUAAAAGAUUCAGAUAUACCAUUUUCCACAGCAUCACAACAACUCUCAGGGUCAAAGAAUGUCCUACACCAUGUAUUCAGGUCUCUUUCUAUCAAGUGGUCAUAAGCUUCCGUGGACAUUGUACGAAUUUCCCUCAUGUAUUCAGGUCUCCAAAAUAACCUCCUAAACUUGAUACCCUGAACUCUUUCUUCUUAAAGUUGGAAAAGAUGUGUCGGGCAUAAUUCCUAUGCUUACAUGAUGGUGCCCUUUCCUUAACAGCCUCCAUCAAACCCUACAAGGUGAUAACAAAUUUAAGUUGUAAAGCACAUAAUAACACAUAAUGUAGUAAGUAAAAUUAAACUAAAACACACCUUGUGUUGGUCUGAAAUAAUUAUCAGACCCCUACUAUCUCCUGUCUCAAUGUCCUCGAGUAGAAGAUCAAUGAACCACAUCCAUGUUUCCUUGUUUUCAACUAGCACAACAGCCCAUGCUAGAUGGUACAUUUGGUUGUUUGUGUCCCUACCAACGGUUGUUAACAACUUACCUCUGCAAAUACCCUUCAAAAAACCGCCAUCAACACCGAUAACCCUUCUACAUCCUUCAAUCCAGACAUCCUUGACAAACUUUAGGCAAAUAUACAUCCUUUUGCAGUAGUGUGUAGCAUCAAGCGUAUGAUUUGUCUCAAUUAAGACUGUUGAAGCAGGAUAAACCCUCAAUAACUCAACACCAUAAUUCCACAGUUUCUCAUAAUGGCUUACCAAACUGCCUGAAAUCUCAUCUAGUGCAAAGUACUUGGCAUUUCUACAUUGCCCAAUACUUACCUUGAGACCGUAGUCUUUUCUAACCACUUCUGCCAUUUUCCUAUAGCUAAACCGAGGCCUUUCCAAAAUGUUAGGUAUUAACAUUUUUCCAAUCCACUUAUACGUAACAAGACACCCCAAUUUUUAUUGUCUAGCACAAUUAUGUUUAUCAAUUAGUAAUCUGGAAUGAAUUUUCCUUGUUCAUAGGACUAGCCCAUAGACUAAAAGGGCAAGAUGGCUUCCCUUUUUCAAUUUUAUUGCACCUUACUAACAAUUUAUCCUCAUUUUUUUCAUACCACAAUGCAUAACCCUUAGACACGUCAUCAUUUGUUAACAUGUGUUUCAAUUCAUCCUGAUUAGAGAAUCUCAUACCUAACUUGUCACACCCCCAAACCAGACGGCGGAAACGUCCGAGAGCUAUUGUGACUUAAAUUGAAUACCAUCACAAUGAAUAUACAUGAAUCAUAACAUAAAUCGUCACCAUGCAUUGGAAUAAUACAACUAAUAUUGUUUACAUCCAGUACAUUGUUUUAAACAUUACAAUUUCAUAACAUAAACUGUCUGAUAGAUAUCAUAAGCAAAACGUCCAGACAUUACUUGGUACUUAUUCUUCGGUUUACCUGUUACCUGAGAAUACAAGUUAAUUUUGAAAAACGUCAACAUAUGAAAUGUUGGUGAGUUCAUAAGCAAUGUUGUGAUAAAAUGAUUUGGUGUAGUUUGUAGAACCCAGAAAAUCCGAUAUUUUCUGAAAAGAUCAUUGUUUUUAAAAAAAGUGUGAAGAUUUGUAAAUAUAUGAUUGUUGAUUUUAAAAACAUGUAUAAUUGUUGAACAUCUAUAAUGAUCGCGCAAGUGAAAAUGUUGAACUUCCCAGGAAAACCCGAUGUUUUCCCAUUACAUAAAACACAGUGAAUUCUCAAUUUGUUAUACCGUCACGACAAAUGAUUUUUUAUUACUCGGGUGGCUUUGGAUGAAUUAGGGUUUGUGAGUCGUUAUAAUCAUGCAUUUGAAAAUGACUAGUUUAUAACUACAGGUUUCGAAUGAUCCUUAAAGGCAUCGCCCGUUACUACUCACUUAAUCCAACAACCAUGAUUACUUUUGAUUAACGUCCUGAAUCUGUUUACCUUGAUUACUCGUAAGCCUAACAAAUGAGGAAAAAGGGAGUACGAAGUCCCGUCAUAUUUCGUGAGUUAUUUAGGUUGUCGGGAAUGCGAAAGGCACGUUGGCCCAACUCGCAUUUGAUUUCUUGACCUCAAUAGCAAUACUAAUGGGCCACUAGGGCCCAAUAGCACAUUAGAGCCAUUGAAAGUCCUUUUGCAUAAAACUGGGUCAUAGGAGGCCCAAUAGCACAUAAGCAUAUUCCCUUUGGGCCCAAAGAUCAUGUUAAUGGGAUAGCAAGGCCCAACAAGCAUGAUUUGAAACUUCCAAGCCCAAAGUUUGUAAGUUUGCUCUUCGUAGUUAUCGCGUAUUUAUUUAGAUGGUUUUGUUUAACGCUUGUUGUUUUGUAUUGAUUCGAGACUGAAUCAUUCAUUUGUAACGAUAUUUGUUGUUGAGAGUGUAUUUGUUUUCCGUUUCGUCAGUAGUCGUGGAUCUUGUAUUUUGUAUUAAUGAAUUUAUUUGUUUAAUAGUGGAAUUUGACCUUUUCACUACUCUUCUUUUAUAAAAAUAACACUUUUGGUCCUCUUAUAUACAAGAAUUUCAUUUUUAGUCCAUAAAACCUUUUCUUGACACUUUUGUAAUUUUUAUUUAAUGAAAACACAAUUUUAACCCAAAAUUUAUUUUGUUCACAGCUUCAGCCCUUCCAGAAUAGUGUUUCUCGGUUACAGCCCCAUUUUUCACAACUUUUACAGUUUUGGCCCAAAAUCUAAAAACUUUACAUUUUUGGUCCUUUUUGAUAGUGAAAAGCAUUUUUGACUCAUAAAAUGAUUUUUUCAUGUUAAUUACCCCCUAUUUUACAUAAAGUUUCACUUCAGCCCCUAAAUUUUAUCAUUUUUCACAUUUUGAGGCUUAUUGGGCCGAAAAGCCCAAAAUUAGCCCAUUAAGCUAAAAAUUAACAUUUUAAGUCCCUUGAAAAUUCUAAUGUUCAGAAAAACGAUUAUAGAAACUGUUUUGACCCUUUUGACCUUCAAGAAACCAUGACUUGUCAAUUUUUAUCCCAAGUUUUGUAUUUUUGACAAUUUAAGCCCAAAAAUGGGUUUUAUGUUAGAAUAUGUUCAUCAUGACCUUAUAAGUUAUUAUUCUUGACUUGUUAUGUGUAAAAUAGCUUAGAUUAUGUUUGUUUCCUUUCUCAUGUCAUAGAUCUCGGGUUUACACCCCUUUUGGUAACAUAUUCAUCACAAAACACUUGAAAUCACACACAUACAUGCAUCAAAUCACACAUAGCAUACACAUACACAUAGAUCUACACAUUUUCUUGUAUUCUCCCCCAUAAAACUCAUAAAAACCGAAAAGAAAAGGUUAUGAAGCUCACCUUGAGUUGUGAUUUCGGUUUUGAAGAAGAUUGGGAGAAGUUUGGUGCUAUUUUCGGUCCUAGCAAGUUUCUUGGAUAGAUCUCGAACUUAGUGUGCUCUAAGAUGAAAGAUCAUGAAUUUGAAUGGAUUAAGAGAUGAUUUUUUGAUGAAAAGAAGUGAGUUAAAGCAUGGAUCAAACAUCAACUUACCUUGGAUGUUGAUUUUUGUGGAAGAAUCUCUUUGAAAGCCUCUUAGAUCUCGAAAAUUUUGAGAGAAAUGGAGAGAGUUUCUUGAGAGAAUUUUGAGUGAAGUGUGUGUGCGUGUGUGUGUUUGUUUGGGUUCGACCGAGAGGAAGUGAGGGAGAAGAAGAGAGAAGGGUGAUGGGAUUUUUGCAUGGAAGUAUGAGAGCAUGCAUGGAAAUCCACUAAAUAAAAAUGAGUUGGCACCACAAAGUCAACUCUUUCUUUCUUUGUGGGCUUGGGCUGAAAAUGGAGAGGGGAAAGAGGGGAUUUUUGGGCUUUUUGCCCCUAAGCCCAUAUUAUAGUUAAGUUAGAUGAUGUUGACUCAAUUAAAUCAAAGUAUAAUUUUUAUGACCUAUUAGGGNAGGUUAGUUAUGGCCCAAUAAGGUCCAUUUAGGUAUUUUAUUUCAUUCUAGGCCCAAUAUGAUCCAAAACAUUUAAAAUAUAUGGAAGUGGGUCCUAUUAGAGCCCAUUUAAGAGUUCUAAGCCCAAGAUAGUCAAAUUGGAAGCUUACUGGCCCUUUGGGCCCAAUAAGGAAAUCCUAGUCCAGAAUGGACUUAAACCAGGAUUUCUAGGGUUUCCAAUUUUUUGUUGACUAUUUGCAGUGCUUGUAUGAAGUGUUUGAUUGAAAUUCUAUUGUUAUUGAAUAAGCAUCCGUGUUGGUUCACAUUUGUUAUCAUUGCUCAAUGUUUACAAGGCAUCAAAAUUCCUAGUUGUGACAUCAUCCGCCGUUAGAGGGAAUUUCGUCCCGAAAUUCUUUUGAAAGCUAUAUUUGAGAAUGCGAGCAUAGGUGAGGGUACUUCUGCUUCAUCUAGUCUUCGCAUUCCCAUGUGAAUUCUGGCUCACGCUUAGCGUUCCACCAUACCUUCACAAUCGGAAUGCGACUUUGCUUGGUACGCUUCACCUCCCUGUCCAUGAUUUCGACUGGUUCCUUAACGAACAGGAGAUUCUCGUUGAUUUCAAUUUCGUCAAGGGGAAUGACGAGAGUUUCAUCGGAUAGGCACUUCUUUAAAUUGGAGUUUCAUCGGGGUUUACGCUGCUGAGCUUAGCGGGUAGCUGCAGUCUGUACGCCACUGGGCCAAUUCGGGCAAGAAUCUCGAAAGGUCCAUUGUAUCGUGGAUUCAAUUUUCCCCGUUUUCCAAAAUGAAUAACUCCUUUCCAGGAUGAAACUUUUAACAGAACUCGAUCCCCGACCUGAAACUCCAAGGGCUUUCGUCGUUUAUCAGCGUAGCUCUUCUGUCGGUCGCGUGAUGCUUGUAGUCGAGCUCUGAUUUGAACUAUUUUUUCAGUGGUUUCACGUAUGAUCUCCGGUCCCGUUAACGUCUUGUAUGAUGCUAGUUCCCUCACUAGUUGGGUGUCGCCUACCUCAGCCCAAGACAACGGUGAUCUACACUUACGUCCAUACAGCGCCUCGAAAGGAGCAACUUUGAUGCUCGAAUGGUAACUGUUGUUGUAUGAGAAUUCAAAUAAGGGUAAGUGGGUAUCCAAGGGCUUCCCAAAGUCUAUCACACAUGCGUGAAGCAUGUCUUCAAGCGUCUGAAUGGUUUGUUCGCUUUGACCAUCCGUUUGUGGGUGAUAAGCAGUGCUCAUGUCGAGAUGAGUUCCCAGUGCUUUCUGAAGUGAUUGCCAAAAACGUGAAGUGAAUCUACUAUCUCUAUCUGAGAUGAUAGACAUUGGCACUCCGUGUAGUCUCACGAUUUCUCGAAUGUAUAUUCUUGUCAAUCUCUCCAUCUUGUAGGAUUCUUUUAUUGGCAGGAAAUGAGCAGAUUUUGUUAGUCUGUCAACUAUUACCCAUAUAGUGUCCAAUCCAUCUGACGACUUGGGUAGAUUGGUCACAAAAUCCAUAGUAAUCAUUUCCCAUUUCCACUCGGGAAUUACUGGUUGUUGUAAUAACCCUGAGGGCUUCUGGUAUUCUACCUUUACUUUGGGCAAGGCAUUUGCUAACAUAGGUGGCAAUCUCUGCCUUCAUGUUAAGCCACCAAUAAUGUUGUUUAAUAUCCAAGUACAUUUUGUCCGAACCCGGAUGGAUGGAGUAUCGCGUCUUGUGAGCUUCAUUCAUGACUACCUCCCUAAAUCCUCCAAGUUUAGGGACCCAAAUAUGGUUCAUGAAAUAAUAUACUCCGCCAUCUUUCACCUCAAGAUUUUUCUCCAUUCCGCAUAACGCUUCGCUUGUUUUGUUUUCCGCCUUCAUGGCAUCUGACUGGGCUGCCCUGAUCUGAGUGGUUAGGUGAGAUUGGAUGGUUAUUGAGAGAGUUUUCACACGACGAUUAGACUACUCUUUCUGACUCAAGGCAUCAGCUACCACGUUAGCCUUGUCUAGGUGGUACUUGAUUUCACACUCAUAAUCGUUUAAUAGUUCAACCCACCUUCGUUGCCUCAUAUUCAGCUCUUUUUUAUUCAAGAUGUGUUGGAGACUCUUGUGGUCCGUGAAGAUGGUGCACUUUGUACCAUAAAGGUAGUGCCUCCAAAUUUUCAGGGCGAAGACCACUGCUCCAAAUUACAGAUCGUUGGUUGUAUAAUUCACUUCGUGUGUCUUUAGUUGUCGGGACGCGUAAGCUAUCACCUUUCCACGCUGUAUGAGAACGCAACCUAAACCCUGAUUUGACACGUCAUAGUAAACUACGAAAUCUUCCGUUCCCUCUGGUAGUGAUAGUACCAGGGCACUGCAGAGUGCUUGCUUCAGAGUUUGGAAUGCAGCUUCUUGUUUGUCCGUCCAUUUGAAGGGUACGCCCUUUUGUGUAACCGAGGUAAGUGACUUGGCAGUCUUAGAGAAGUUUUGAAUGAACCUCUUGUAGUAACCUGCUAGACCUAGGAAUUGGCGAAUUUCUGUGGGUGUCGUUGGGACUGCCUAUCCUUCAAUGGCUUUGACCUUAGAAGGAUCCACAUGUAUUCCUUCCUGACUAACAACAUGACCCAAAAAUUUCACGCUACGGAGCCAGAACUCACACUUGGAGAGUUUUGCGUAUAGCUUCUCAGUUCGCAGGGUUUCCAGGAUUUUUCAGAAAUGUUGGCCAUGCUCUUCUUCGCUUCAAGAAUAAACUAGAAUGUUGUCAAUGAAAACAAUAACAAAGUUGUCGAGGAAUGGUUUGCAGAUUCGAUUCAUUAGGUCCAUGAAUGUGGCAGGGGCAUUCGUUAGACCGAAGGGCAUUACGACAAAUUCAUAAUGUCCGUAACGAGUUCAGAAAGCGGUUUUGGGAAUAUCCUCUUCCCGAACCUUGAGUUGAUGGUACCUGGAUCGCAGAUCUAUCUUAGAGAAGUAACUAGCUCCUUGGAGUUGGUCAAAUAGAUCGUCGAUUCGUGGGAGUGGAUAGCGAUUUUUGAUAGUGAGCUUAUUUAGUUCUCUAUAAUCGAUGCACAUCCUAAAAGAUCCGUCAUUCUUCUUGAUAAAGAGGACUGGAGCUCCCCAUGGCGAGAAGUUGGGUCGGAUGAAUCCCUUGUCCACGAGUUCACUGAGUUGGCUGGACAAUUCCUGCAUCUCAGCAGGAGCCAAUCUGUAAGGUGAUUUAGCAAUGGGAGUAGCUCCUGGCACAAGAUCAAUUCGAAAUUCAAUUUGUCUUUCUGGGGGUACUCCAUGAAGAUCUUCAGGAAAUACGUCUAGGAAUUCACAUGCUACAUGAAUGUCUUGAACGUUAACCUCUUCCUUGGAUUUAUCCACUAUGUGCGCCAGGAACGUCAAAUCUUUCUUUCGCAGAUGUUUCUGUCCCUGGACGCACGAGAUGAGACGAAGAUUUGUGUUGGGUUUGUCUCCGUAAAUAAUUAGGGUUUCAUGAUUUGGAAGGCGAAGGCGAACGACCUUCUCGUGACACAUAAUUUCAGCAUGGUGGGGGCUUAACCAAUCCAUNACUAAUAGUUAAACUUAGAUCCAACUCAAGGGUUGCAUGCACACAUAUGAUUGUUUGUAUAAAACCCAUCAAAAUCAACAAUAUUAUGAGGCGAAGACAAAAUGACUGUCACACCCCCGAACCAGGUGGCAAAAACGUCCGAGGGCUCUUGUGACUUAAAUUGAAUACCAUCACAAUGAAUAUACAUGAAGCAUAACAUAAAUCAUCACCAUGCAUUGAAAUAAUACAACUGAUAUUGUUUACAUCCAGUACAUUGUUUUAAACAUUACAAUUUCAUAACAUAAACUGUCUGAUAGAUAUCAUAAGCAAAACAUCCAGACAUUGAGCUUCUGGGGUUGUUGUUUUAACAAAUGCUUAAACUUAUUGCUCACAAAACUUCGUUCUGCUCCGGUAUCAAAUAGGAUGCAUGCAUAAGUGUGGUUUAGGAGGAACGUACCAGUAACGGCAGCGGGAUCCUGAACUGCUUCUCCCUGAACUAUGGUCAGCACCCUUCCUGUUCCUCCAUUUCCAAGAUUGUUUUUGUUGGGGCAGUUUUGACGAAAAUGGCCAGUCCUUCCACAUCCAUAGCAGGUGUGGCUUGGUCCUGCAUUGUUUCCGCCAUUGUCGGUGUUGUUGUUGUUGUUGCGGUUAUUGUUGUUGUUGUUUCCCUGUUGUUGGUUCUGAGGAGGGUAGGUCCUGUAAUACUUUGCCGUGUGCCCCUUCCGAUUACAACUGGUGCACUGCAUCUACCUGCAUUCUCCAUUAUGAUGGAGACCGCACUUAUUGCACUUAGGAAGAUUACCGGAAUNAUUUUUGCACUUAGGAAGAUUACCAGAAUAUGGCCUAGGAGCACUUGGAGCAGCUGAGGCUGGAGCAUGUGGUGUGGGUGGAACUUGAGUGGUUGCAGCAUUAACUGCCACUGUUUGCUGUUUCUUGGAUGAUUCGGAGCCUUGACGUCCCUUCCUCUUGUUGUUAUUUCCCUUUUUGUUGUCAUUUUCCUUCUUACCUUCUGUCUCCACUAGCUUCUCACCCUUCUUGUUGUUGUGGUCAUACAGCUUCUUGGCCAAUCUUUUGGCACUGUCGAAAGUUUUGGGGUUUGAAGCUAUCACGUUUCCUUGGAUCGGGGAGGUUAGUCCCUAGAUGAAUCGUUCGAUCUUCUUUCCUUCUGAGGUGAUCAUUACAGGGCAUAGCAGAGACAGUUCACUAAACCUUGAUAUGUAUGCAUAUGUAUCAGUGUUCAUGACGGUGAGAUUCCACAGCUCUUGUUCCAUUUUCUGAAUUUUGCCACGAGGGCAGUACUCGGCCAUUAGCAUUUUUUUCAUCUCUGCCCAUGGCAUGGAAUUGGCUACGGGGAGUGUCAUGGCUUCCACGUGUCCGUUCCACCAAGUAAGUGCUUGGUCAACAAAAGUGCAUGCGGCAAACUUCACCUUCAUCUCCUCAGGGCAUUCACAUAUCUCGAACACCGAUUCCACCUUCUCGAUCCAUCGUUUCAGGGUAAUCAUUCCUCCAGUGCUGUUAAAGGUUUGUGGUUUGGUGUUGGUUAAAUAUUUGUAGGAGCAUGUUUUGGUAGGUCCUUGAUUCAUCCUGUUGUUUGAGCUUACAGCCCCUUGUCCGUUGACUCCUCCAUUGUUCCCCUGGUGAAUUUGUGCCAUUGCUGCGGUGACCGCAGCAGAUACAGCUACUUGGAAUGCAGCUGAGUUGACUUCGGGUGGGGUUGGUCCAGGGUUUCCGCGGGUGGGUCGUGGAGGCAUCUUUCUGUCAUGGAACAGAAAGAUGUUGAGUGUCUGUGGUUUUUGUGAGGUUGUGAUCCUAUAAACUAGGUGUGUGGCACAAACUUAAGUAAUUUCACAAAUUAGCACACAAUCAUGGAUAUGUAACACAUAGCAGAUUUAAAACAUCACAGUAAACCUAUAAAAUUUUUCAUUAAUAUUAUCCGCACUUUGAUACAUGAAAAUUUUGCUCGAAAGAGCAUACAUAAGUGGUACAAGUUCGGCAGCAUAACGGCUCUAUGAGUAGUGUAAUCACUUAAACAUAGAGUCGGGGUACAUAGCAUAGGUCAUAGUACUAAAGACGGGUAUGACUAGUCCUAGUCGUGGUGAGUUCUAUAUAGCAGGUAGUAGAGAAGGUCCUAUUAGUAAGGGUGACGACGACGCUCAAUCGUCGAGGUGACGCACCAGAAGUUCAGCCAGUUCAUCCGCCUCUUGGUUGAUUACCUCUGCUUUUCACUCGGCUCGCGCAACCCUUGCCUUGGCCAUGCUGAGUUGAAGCUUCAGGCUGAUAACUGCCUCCUCGAGAGCGCAUAAGUAGUCUGUAUCCACCCCUUGAAACAUGUGGAAAUUUAACGGGGGUUCCAACUGGUGACGUUCACUACACACCUCCUCUACGUCCUUCUCCUCGUGUGGCUCCUGGUCGAACUCAUCAUAAUCGAAAUCAACCAUCACAUAUUCGUCCUGUACCUCUUCAGGUCCAAUGUUGUGUGCCAUUCCUUGAUCUACCUCAGGCUCAUCCUUGACCCUCCCGUGGGCUACUAGGACUUGAUGAAACUGAAUGCCCUGCUGCUCCCCUUCCAUAGCGACUGAGAGGAGGUAUACAAAUAAACUAUCAUUACUCCUAGGACGCUACAAUUAUUGUAUAUAUCGAGCUGAUGUUCUCUUCUUGGUGAUAAAGGGGUAUUUUUUUAGGUUCCCUAGCCAUCACGAUUUCCUCGCGACAUGUGAUAGUUGCACCUUGGAGGAAAUGUAGUUGAUCAGGCUACAUCCACUGCUUGAUACGACUAUGAACAGUCUUGGCUUAACCAAGAUGCUAGCAUUAUCUUGUUUGGUUCGGUAUUAUGUUGUUAUUCCUAAUUUACACAAGCAAGGAUGUUUNAAAGACAGUUCGCUAAACCUUGAUAUGUAUGCAUCUAUAUCAGCGUUCCAGAUGGUGAGAUUCCAUAGCUCUUGUUCCAUUUUCUAAAUUUCGCCACGAGGGCAGUACUCGGCCAUCAGCAUUUCUCUCAUCUCUGCCCAUGGCAUGGAAUUGGCUACGGGGAGUGUCAUGGCUUCCACGUGUCCGUUCCACCAAGUGAUUGCUUGGUCAACGAAAGUGCAUGCGGAAAACUUCACCUUCAUCUCCUCAGGGCAUUCACAUAUCUUGAACACCGAUUCCACCUUCUCGAUCCAUCGUUUCAAGGUAAUCAUUCCUCCAGUGCCGUUAAAGGUUCAUGGUUUGGCGUUGGUGAAAUCUUUGUAGGAGCAUGUUUUGGUAAGUCCUUGAUUCAUCCCGUUGUUUGAGCUUCCAACCCCUUGUCCGUUGACUCCUCCAUUGUUCCCCUGGUGAAUUUGUGCCAUCGCUGCGGUGACCGCAGCGGAUACAGCUGCUUGGAAUGCAGCUGAGUCGACUUCGGGAGGGGUUGGCCCAUGGUUUCUGCGGGUGGGUCAUGGAGGCAUCUUUCUGUCAUGGAACAGAAAGAUGUUGAGUGUCUGUGGUUUUUGUGAGGUUGUGAUCCUAUAAACUAGGUGUGUGGCACAAACUUAAGUAAUUUCACAAAUUAGCACACAAUCAUGGAUAUGUAACACAUAGCAGAUUUAAAACAUCACAGUAGACAUAUAAAAAUUUUCAUUAAUAUUAUCCGCACUUUGAUACAUGAAAAUUUUGCUCGAAAGAGCAUACAUGAGAGGUACAAGUUUGGCAGCAUAACGGCUCUAUGAGUAGUGUAAUCACUUAAACAUAGAGUCGAUGGUACAUAGCCUAGAUCAUAGUACUAGUACUAAGGACUGAUACGGCUAACCCUAGUUACGGUGGGAUGUGCCAGGGGGUGGUGUUGAGGAAGUGGAUGCUCCCUGAAGACGAGCCACCUGUCGUUCUGCAUUCUGGAGUCGGGACUCCCACCUAACCUACCUCAUGUGUAAUUAUCGGAGGACGUCUCGCGUCUUGCGUCUCCUGCUCUGCACGCUCAACCCUAGUCCACAUCUGGCGUACCUGAUCGGCAGUACUCUGAGCUAGGUCGCAUGUGUUCCGUAAUCGUCUCACCAUGACUGGAAGGGCACGAUCGGCCGGUCCUCCAUCUCUCAGGUCAAAGAGCUCCUGUGACAUGCCGAACGGGGGUCGCUGUCCCUGCUGCCUGCUCCAUCUCCAAAGAUCGAUACCCUAGGGAGGUGUAGGACCAGUGGGGCCCACCCGGUAAGCAGGCACCCUAAUCGGAUAAGGGGGGUUGAUGACUUCAGACUCUGCGUCCGAAUCACCCUCUUCGUUAUCGUUGGGUUCCUCCUCGAGACCUCCUUCAGCUUCCUCCUCCUCCUAUUCCUCUACUGACUCGGCAGGGUCGCCCNUCCGCCCUCGACUUCUGCUUCAGGUUCCCCGUCGGAUUCCUCCUCGGGGUCUUCCUCAGGCUCUUCUUCAGGUUCUUCGUCCAACCAUCCGUUAUUCCCCUAGUUUGGGAAAUAAGGAUCUUCGGGGUGGUGGAAACCAGCCAUUUUGUCUGCGAGAGUGUGUAAAUAUGCUAACAUUAUUCCUAAGAUGCUACAAUUAUUGUAUAGAUUGAGAUGAUGUUCUCUUCUUGGUGAUAGAGGGUAUGUUUUUAGGUUCCCUAGCCAUCACGAUUUCCUCGGGACAUGUGAUAGUUGUACCUUGGAGGAAAUAUAGUUGAUCAGGCUACAUCCACUCCUUGAUACGACUAUGAACAGUCCUGGCUUAACCGAGAUGCUAGCAUUAUCUUGUUUGGUUCGGUAUUAUGUUCUUUUUCCUAAUUAACACAAGCAAGGAUGUUUUAUUGUUAUGUUUUGCUUGUUUUGUUCAGAGUUGCAUGUAACGUCCCAAUAUUCACGUCCAAAAAUUUCGUUUUUAAAACAUUACUUAGAAAACAUUAAUAAUUAAAAACAUUGUUUAAUUAAACCAUUUCACAUCGGAAACCAAAUUUGAAAUCCACAACAUGUCAAUAACCAAAAUAUCAGAGCGUCAAUCCCAGAAUAAACUCAUAACUACGGAAACAAGAGUGUGUGUGAUAGGCCGCUACCGUGCCGGCUCCUUCCCCUUCGAAGAAGAGGUACCUGAAAACCAAAACUGAAAACCGUAAGCACGAAGCUUAGUGAGUUCNAAAAACAUAAGCACAAAGCUUAGUGAGUUCCCCCAUCGUACCACAUACCAUACAACACAUAUCAUACAUACUGUCAGGCUAUUCUGGGGUGCCUGACUACCCAGUACGGCCAUUCUGGGGUUCCAACUACCCAUGCGGCCAUUCUAGGGUGUUGUCUACCCGUACGGCCAUUCUGGGGUGCCGUCUACCCGUAUCAAGCCAUUUUGGGGUGCUGACUACCCAUGCCAAGCCGUUCUAGGGUGCUGACUACCCUUCGGUCCUAACGACCGAACCUCGGGGACUAUUCCACCCCCUACUACUACUACUAUCACAUAUCACAACAUAACAUAUUAUCAGACAUAUCUGGGAUGUCUGAACUACCCUUCGGUCCUAACAACCGAACUCGGGGACUGUUCCCCUCCUACUACCUCUAACUCAUAUAACAGAUCAUACUAGCAUAUAAACAUAACAUCACAUACUGUCAGACGUAUCUGGGGUGUCUGACUACCCUCCGGUCCUAACAACCGAACUCUACUACUGUCACAUAUAACAUAUCAUGCUAGCAUUUAACAUAUCAGGUAGUAGCAAACCUAGAUGAUAUCACAGAGACAAUCAUCUAUCAUACGUCUCCUACUGGUGGGCCGGCAUUGUGGCCUUAGACCCACCGCUACUGGAAGGUAACUCACCUCNNNNNNNNNNNNNNNNNNNNNNNNNNNNNNNNNNNNNNNNNNNNNNNNNNNNNNNNNNNNNNNNNNNNNNNNNNNNNNNNNNNNNNNNNNNNNNNNNNNNNNNNNNNNNNNNNNNNNNNNNNNNNNNNNNNNNNNNNNNNNNNNNNNNGCCCCCCCCCCCCGCCGAGUCCCUUCCAUAUGUUCUAGUUCUACACCCGUUCCUACUCAUCGAGCUUAGCGAACACUCGACGCGUUCUUCCUCGAUGCAUACAUACUAAGUCCAAGUUCAUCUAACUUGCCGAGUUGAAGAACAACUCGUCGAGUCUAAGGCAAUCUUCAUUGGACUCGUCGAGUCCACGGCUAACUUCAUAGGACUCGCCGAGUCCAUCGUUCUACUCGUCGAGUUCAUUCAAUCCUUUUUCUAUACAGACCUGAUUUGAGCCAUGCAGCAGCUCCAAACCACAGAUCUAGGCUUCUAGGGCAUGCUUAUCACGUAAAGUUGCAAACUUUACGUGCAUGCAUAGCUUUAGGGGCUUCAAAUGUCCAAACUAAGCUCUUAAUGGGGUUCUAAGCUCAAGAGGGACCUUAAUCACCAAUAUGACUGAAACAUAACACUUCAAGAAGGUAAUGAGAGUCCAGAUCUGAAGUAUAACCUGACCAUAAGGUUUCACUUCAAGGAUUUGGGGUUUUAGGGCUUAAAAGUAACAAUUUAGGGACAAACAAGAUCUAAUAGAUCAAUAAUGAAUAUGGAAACUUUAUUACCAGAAUGGAUGACCACAAAUGAAUGUGUUCUGGAUCCAAGUCCCCCUCCUUGACCUCUUCAACUUCUCCCUUCUUCCACUUGCUCCAAGGUGCACCAAAAGUCCCUUCACAAGGCAACAAUCACUCAAACUUAUCAAUGGAGGCUAGGGUUUUCGAUAAGGAAUGCUCUGAGGGUGAUGGGGGAUGAGAUGGGGCUGUAAGGACAUUUAAAUAGGGUGCAAACCCUAAGGUUUAGGGUCUCCUCCUGAUUGGCCUACUUGCCGAGUCCAGGCGUGGACUCGCCGAGUAGAUCACUUAAAGCCCGCAUCCACUCGACAUCUACUCGGCGAGUUAGGGCUACAACUCGCCGAGUAGCUCUUCCCAAAAGAACAUUUAAUCAAAAUAAAUACGUACCAGGAACGGGGCGUUACAAAUCUCCCCCACUUAUCUUAGACUUCGUCCUCAAAGUCUGCUGACUCCAGAAACAACUCUGGGUAGUGCUCCCUCAUCUCCUCCUCCGCCUCCCAUGUCCACUCUGAACCCCUUCGGUGCUGCCACUGCACCUUCACUAACUGAACCACCUUGUUCCUCAAGGUCCUCAUCUUUCGAUCUAAGAUCGCAACUGGUCUCUCGAUAUAAUUCAGGUUGCUAUCGACCUAAAUAUCCUCCAAGGGUACAACUGCCGACUCGUACACCAAACAUUUUCUCAACUGAGAAACAUGAAAAGUGUUGUGGAUCUGGCUAAGCCCUGCUGGAAGAUCCAACCUAUAGGCGGCCCGACCCACCCGGGCCAAAACCCUAAAAGGACCAAUGAACCUGGGGCCCAACUUGCCCCUCUUCUAGAACCUAAUGACACCCUUCCAGGGUGAUACCUUCAGGAGGACCAUGUCACCCACCUGAAACUCCAAGUCUGAAUGCCUUCUGUCGGCGUAACUCUUCUGCCGACUCUGCGCAGUCUGCAGCCUGCUACGAACCUGCUGGAUCAACUCUGUCGUCUUGAGCACCACUUCGGUGCUCCCGAUGACGCGCUGACCGACCUCGCCCCAACAAAUCGGGGUCCUGCACUUUCUCCCGUAGAGCAUCUCGAAAGGAGGGCGGUCAAUACUCGCAUGGUAGCUGUUGUUAUAUGAAAACUCAGCCAAGGGAAGAUAGGUAUCCCAACUACCACCGAAGUCUAGCACGCACGCCCGCAACAUAUCCUCCAGAGUCUGGAUGGUCCGCUCACUCUGACCAUCUGUCUGCGGGUGAAAGGCGGUGCUAAAAUGCAAACGAGUGCCCAACUCGUCAUGAAACCUCUUCCAAAACCUGGAAAUAAAACGCACAUCCCUGUCCGAGAUAACCGAUAUCGGCACCCCGUGCCUCGCCACAAUCUCUCUAAUAUAGAUGUCAGCCAAUUUCUCGGCCGAUAUGCUCUCCUUAAUCGGAAUAAAAUGAGCACUCUUGGUCAAUCGAUCCACGAUGACCCAAAUCGAAUCUACUCCACGUGCGGUCCUGGGAAGCUUCGUGAUAAAAUCCAUCGUGAUAUCUUCCCAUUUCCACAACGAGAUGUCCAACGGCUGCAUCUUGCCAUGCGGUCUCUGAUGUUCGGCCUUGACCUUCCUGCAGGUCAAGCACCGCUCG
Molecule: long non-coding RNA, 16034 nt
Filed under: Lactuca sativa (garden lettuce)
Lineage: Eukaryota; Viridiplantae; Streptophyta; Magnoliopsida; Asterales; Asteraceae
Description: long non-coding RNA (LSAT_LNC001148)
Source: RNAcentral